CAGUCGCCACGGUAAUACAGAGGGUGCAAGCGUUAAUCGGAAUUACUGGGCGUAAAGCGCACGCAGGCGGUUUGUUAAGUCAGAUGUGAAAUCCCCGAGCUUAACUUGGGAACUGCAUUUGAAACUGGCAAGCUAGAGUCUUGUAGAGGGGGGUAGAAUUCCAGGUGUAGCGGUGAAAUGCGUAGAGAUCUGGAGGAAUACCGGUGGCGAAGGCGGCCCCCUGGACAAAGACUGACGCUCAGGUGCGAAAGCGUGGGGAGCAAACAGGAUUAGAUACCCCUGUAGUCCCUGUCUCUUAUAC
Molecule: ribosomal RNA, 301 nt
Filed under: uncultured bacterium
Lineage: Bacteria
Description: partial 16S ribosomal RNA
Rfam family: Bacterial small subunit ribosomal RNA
Source: RNAcentral